RNAcentral lists this ribosomal RNA (455 nucleotides) under uncultured bacterium. RNAcentral describes it as "bacterial SSU rRNA". It matches the Rfam family "Bacterial small subunit ribosomal RNA", at positions 340 to 786 of the family's 1533-position model. The record is from RNAcentral.
UACGGAAGGCAGCAGUGGGGAAUAUUGCACAAUGGGCGAAAGCCUGAUGCAGCUAUGCCGCGUGUAUGAAGAAGGCCUUAGGGUUGUAAAGUACUUUCAUCGGGGAGGAAAAACAAAACUAAUAAUUUUAUUUCUUGACGUUACCCGAAAAAGAAGCACCGGCUAACUCCGUGCCAGCAGCCGCGGUAAUACGGAGGGUGCUAGCGUUAAUCAGAAUUACUGGGCGUAAAGAGCACGUAGGUGGUUUUUUUAAGUCAGAUGUGAAAUCCCUGGGCUUAACCUGGAACUGCAUUUUGAAACUGAAAUACUAGAGUAUCGUAGAGGGAGGUAGAAUUCUAGGUGUAGCGGUGAAAUGCGUAGAUAUCUGGAGGAAUACCUGUGGCGAAAGCGGCCUCCUAAACGAAUACUGACACUGAGGUGCGAAAGCGUGGGGAGCAAAACAGGGAUUAGAUACC